This is a non-coding RNA of Cladorrhinum samala, 94 nucleotides long. The record is from the annotation of a GenBank genome assembly. NCBI's taxonomy places the organism in Eukaryota, Fungi, Ascomycota, Sordariomycetes, Sordariales, Podosporaceae.
GGGCCGCUGGUCUAGUGGUAUGAUUCUCGCUUAGGGCUCACCCUGAACAAAUUGUUGUUGCGAGAGGUCCCGGGUUCAAUCCCCGGGUGGCCCC